GACGAACGCUGGCGGCGUGCUUAACACAUGCAAGUCGAGCGGUAAGGCCCUUUCGGGGGUACACGAGCGGCGAACGGGUGAGUAACACGUGGGUGACCUGCCCUCAGCUCUGGGAUAAGCCUGGGAAACCGGGUCUAAUACUGGAUAUGACUCCACGACGCAUGUUGUGGGGUGGAAAGCCUUGUGCGGCUGAGGAUGGGCCCGCGGCCUAUCAGCUUGUUGGUGGGGUGAUGGCCUACCAAGGCGACGACGGGUAGCCGGCCUGAGAGGGCGACCGGCCACACUGGGACUGAGACACGGCCCAGACUCCUACGGGAGGCAGCAGUGGGGAAUCUUGCGCAAUGGGCGAAAGCCUGACGCAGCGACGCCGCGU
This 373-nucleotide ribosomal RNA is filed under the name uncultured bacterium. RNAcentral's name for it is "bacterial SSU rRNA". It matches the Rfam family "Bacterial small subunit ribosomal RNA", at positions 28 to 402 of the family's 1533-position model. The record is from RNAcentral.